Molecule: long non-coding RNA, 984 nt
Organism: Larimichthys crocea (large yellow croaker)
Lineage: Eukaryota; Metazoa; Chordata; Actinopteri; Sciaenidae
Exons: 2
Source: RefSeq, a predicted model, not a curated record
CAAAGUCAUAACUUGUACAGGUUAUUAUCUUGUGCAGACAGCGAGCAAAAUGUUUACUUGUUCUUACAACAUGUAUAUGUUUCUGUCACUGAAUAAUUGCUCAAAUAAGAUCAUAACAAGGCAAUAACUUCAGCACAUACAUAUCUUGAAAAUUAAACAUGUACAGUCAGUAGAGUCAGUCAGUAAAUCUUAGUCUAUUGAUGUUUGUGCAGGCAGCUAUUUUUCUGUUUUCUGAUGUUUUUGUUUGGCCUCAUUAUCUCUUUUAUGGUGUUAAUUUUUAAGAUGUAGGUUGUAAGUUGUAAGUUGACAGGUGUGUGCAGUCUGCUCACAAGUCUCCUCCCUCUAGUUUGUGCUGUUAUGCUGACCACUAGAGGCCUCAAUAAGGAAGCACACCCACCUUGUGGAAAUUUUAAGGACAACACUCCAGUUUCAAAAUAAAACACAUCUACAACAGUUUCUUCUUCUGCACAGGAUUUUACUGCAGUCCAGCAUUACACUUUCAUUCAUGACAAAAUGUUUUCAUGCUUUCAUUCAUUUGUAUUUGAUUCAGUCAUUUGAUUCAUUCUUUACAGCAUCAGUUCAUCAAGACCACGUCUUUUAAGAAUAAGGUUGGAGGUUCACUGACGGACUAAGUUAUGUAUUUGAAACGUUUUUAACCAAUCCCAUCCGGUAACAAUGGUAUUGAAACACAGACUUAACAGACAUCCAAAGUUCUUUACAUAAAUCACCAGAAUUAAAAAUAUGAUAAAAAGUUAAAAUUAAAAAAAAUGGCAAAAAAAGUGAAAUAGUGCAAAUCUUGACAGAAUAAAGUUUAUGCAAAGUUUAAAAGCUUUUUAAAAACAUCAUUGUCUUUAAAUGAAUUUCAACUAGGGAGACUUUUCUCUCUCGCACAAUGGUUGUUUAAGGAGACCGACCCUGUUCAGCUGUAGAAUGGUUUAGUGACACAGCUUCUGAUUGUUAUGCCAAAUGUAUCUGUUACAAUAA